This 78-nucleotide transfer RNA is filed under the name Planctomycetota bacterium. RNAcentral describes it as "Planctomycetes bacterium (sediment metagenome) tRNA-Pro". It matches the Rfam family "tRNA". Rfam says of the family: Transfer RNA (tRNA) molecules are approximately 80 nucleotides in length. Their secondary structure includes four short double-helical elements and three loops (D, anti-codon, and T loops). Lineage: Bacteria; Pseudomonadati; Planctomycetota. RNAcentral also lists the same sequence under 2 other names. The record is from RNAcentral.
CGGGGCGUGGCGCAGUUUGGCUAGCGCGCUUGAAUGGGGUUCAAGAGGUCGCUGGUUCGAAUCCAGUCGCCCCGACCA